CUUCAUGUCACCUUCUUGAGACUCAGUGAGUUGACUUCAGGGCUAAGCUGUUCUCACUGCAAUUCAGAAGCCUACCCGAACACUUUCUGGUGGACAGUGAACUCAAGGCAGCUGCGCAACCCACGAUGGGCUGCAAAAAGCCUGUCUGGGGCUUUGGUCACUUUUCAUUCUUCCAUCCCUGGAAUGGCUUCAGGACGCUGGGAAUGCCACUCGCAUUUCAAUUCUUCUUGGGUCUCUGAAAUCUGCAUAAACAAAAGAAAAAGGGAUAGAGGUGUUGCUUCUCGAAAGACAUCAACUCUUCCGAGUUCCUCCUCGUCCCACUUCUCUUUCUCCGUGACUACGGUAGCUCCCCCUGCUGGCCUGGGUGUGAAGAGGAUUGCAACUUACAUCUGGGCAUUGGCUGUCGCUGGACUGAUUUUGCUGCUGACCAUCCUUGGAAUGUGUUUGUGUUUAUGGAAGAGAAAGUCAAGAGGCAGAAAAAAUUGUUCUAUGAAAGAUCCUUUCAGAAGGAAUGAAGAAAUAAGUGAAAGAGAAAACCUGGAUGAGGU
This 548-nucleotide long non-coding RNA is filed under the name Salvator merianae (Argentine black and white tegu). RNAcentral's name for it is "lncRNA (ENSSMRG00000008795.1)". The record is from RNAcentral. Lineage: Eukaryota; Metazoa; Chordata; Lepidosauria; Squamata; Teiidae.